AACGAACGCUGGCGGCAUGCCUAACACAUGCAAGUCGAACGAGACCUUCGGGUCUAGUGGCGCACGGGUGCGUAACGCGUGGGAAUCUGCCCUUGGGUUCGGAAUAACAGUUAGAAAUGACUGCUAAUACCGGAUAAUGUCUUCGGACCAAAGAUUUAUCGCCCAGGGAUGAGCCCGCGUAGGAUUAGCUAGUUGGUGAGGUAAAGGCUCACCAAGGCGACGAUCCUUAGCCGGUCUGAGAGGAUGAUCAGCCACACUGGGACUGAGACACGGCCCAGACUCCUACGGGAGGCAGCAGUGGGGAAUAUUGGACAAUGGGCGAAAGCCUGAUCCAGCAAUGCCGCGUGAGUGAUGAAGGCCUUAGGGUUGUAAAGCUCUUUUACCCGGGAUGAUAAUGACAGUACCGGGAGAAUAAGCCCCCGGCUAACUCCGUGCCAGCAGCCGCGGUAAU
This 451-nucleotide ribosomal RNA is filed under the name uncultured bacterium. Its description in RNAcentral is "bacterial SSU rRNA". It matches the Rfam family "Bacterial small subunit ribosomal RNA", at positions 29 to 524 of the family's 1533-position model. The record is from RNAcentral.